ACUCCUACGGGAGGCAGCAGUGGGGAAUUUUCCGCAAUGGGCGAAAGCCUGACGGAGCAAUGCCGCGUGGAGGUGGAAGGCCUACGGGUCGUCAACUUCUUUUCUCGGAGAAGAAACAAUGACGGUAUCUGAGGAAUAAGCAUCGGCUAACUCUGUGCCAGCAGCCGCGGUAAU
This 174-nucleotide ribosomal RNA is filed under the name uncultured bacterium. RNAcentral's name for it is "partial 16S ribosomal RNA". It matches the Rfam family "Bacterial small subunit ribosomal RNA", at positions 335 to 524 of the family's 1533-position model. The record is from RNAcentral.